AUUGAACGCUGGCGGCAGGCCUAACACAUGCAAGUCGAGCGGAUGAAGGGAGCUUGCUCCUGGAUUCAGCGACGGACGGGUGAGUAAUGCCUAGGAAUCUGCCUGGUAGAGGGGGAUAACGUCCGGAAACGGGCGCUAAUACCGCAUACGUCCUGAGGGAGAAAGUGGGGGAUCUUCGGACCUCACGCUAUCAGAUGAGCCUAGGUCGGAUUAGCUAGUUGGUGGGGUAAAGGCCUACCAAGGCGACGAUCCGUAACUGGUCUGAGAGGAUGAUCAGUCACACUGGAACUGAGACACGGUCCAGACUCCUACGGGAGGCAGCAGUGGGGAAUAUUGGACAAUGGGCGAAAGCCUGAUCCAGCCAUGCCGCGUGUGUGAAGAAGGUCUUCGGAUUGUAAAGCACUUUAAGUUGGGAGGAAGGGCAGUAAGUUAAUACCUUGCUGUUUUGACGUUACCAACAGAAUAAGCACCGGCUAACUUCGUG
RNAcentral lists this ribosomal RNA (484 nucleotides) under uncultured bacterium. Its description in RNAcentral is "partial 16S ribosomal RNA". It matches the Rfam family "Bacterial small subunit ribosomal RNA", at positions 30 to 507 of the family's 1533-position model. The record is from RNAcentral.